UACGAAGGGAGCUAGCGUUGUUCGGAAUUACUGGGCGUAAAGCGCACGUAGGCGGAUUUGUAAGUCAGGGGUGAAAUCCCGGGGCUCAACCUCGGAACUGCCUUUGAUACUGCGAAUCUCGAGUCCGGAAGAGGUGAGUGGAAUUCCUAGUGUAGAGGUGAAAUUCGUAGAUAUUAGGAAGAACACCAGUGGCGAAGGCGACAUACUGGCUCAUUACUGACGCUGAGGCUCGAAAGCGUGGGGAGCAAAC
RNAcentral lists this ribosomal RNA (250 nucleotides) under uncultured bacterium. RNAcentral describes it as "partial 16S ribosomal RNA". It matches the Rfam family "Bacterial small subunit ribosomal RNA", at positions 524 to 773 of the family's 1533-position model. The record is from RNAcentral.